Molecule: ribosomal RNA, 443 nt
Filed under: uncultured bacterium
Lineage: Bacteria
Description: partial 16S ribosomal RNA
Rfam family: Bacterial small subunit ribosomal RNA
Source: RNAcentral
AAUGAACGCUGGCGGCAGGCCUAAAACAUGCAAGUCGAACGCAGUAGCAAUACUGAGUGGCGCACGGGUGCGUAACACGUGGGAAUAUGCCUAUUGGUACGGAACAGCUCCGGGAAACUGGAAUUAAUACCGUAUGGUCCCUUCGGGGUAAAGAUUUAUCGCCAAUAGAUUAGCCCGCGGUGGAUUAGCUAGUUGGUAGGGUAAUGGCCUACCAAGGCGACGAUCCAUAGCUGGUCUGAGAGGACGAUCAGCCACACUGGGACUGAGACACGGCCCAGACUCCUACGGGAGGCAGCAACAGGGAAUCGUACGCAAUGGACGAAAGUCUGACGUCGCAAUGCCGCGUGGAGGAUGAAGGCCUUCGGGUCGUAAACUCCUUUUAUAUAGAAUGAGAGUUCUGUAAGAAUAAGUAACUGCUAACUCUGUGCCAGCCGCCGCCGUAA